GAUGAAGAACGUAGCAAAAUGCGAUAAGUAAUGUGAAUUGCAGAAUUCAGUGAAUCAUCGAAUCUUUGAACGCACAUUGCGCCCGCCAGCAUCCUGGCGGGCAUGCCUGUCCGAGCGUCAUUUCAACCCUCAGGGCCCGUCCGCGGGACCUGGCGUUGGGGAUCGGCCGCGCCCACAGAGGCCGGCCGGCCCUGAAAUACAGUGGCGGUCCCGCCGCAGCUUCCAUUGCGUAGUAGCUAACACCUCGCAACUGGAGAGCGGCGCGGCCAUGCCGUAAAACACCCAACUUCUGAAUGUUGACCUCGAAUCAGGUAGGAAUACCCGCUGAACUUAAGCAUAUCAAUAAGCGGAGGA
Molecule: unclassified non-coding RNA, 354 nt
Filed under: soil metagenome
Description: partial contains 5.8S ribosomal RNA, internal transcribed spacer 2, and large subunit ribosomal RNA
Rfam family: 5.8S ribosomal RNA (bases 1-120)
Source: RNAcentral